Long non-coding RNA from Corticium candelabrum, 4775 nucleotides. RefSeq lists it as uncharacterized. The transcript is spliced from 6 exons. The record is from RefSeq and is a predicted model, not a curated record. Lineage: Eukaryota; Metazoa; Porifera; Homoscleromorpha; Homosclerophorida; Plakinidae.
AGAGAAUCCCGUAUACUUACGUGUGAGUGACUGAGCGUGGAUUGCCGGCGACAUUAUGAAAAAGACCGUGAUGCAGAGACUAGGUGUUUGUUGCAAAAACGGAUUGCGCCUCGUCGCGGGCUACGCUAGCCGUCCGUUUUCGUCUACGAUGUUACCUUCCUUCUUUGCGAGAUGUACACACUGCAUUCGUGCGUGAUGCCUGCACUACACGUACUGAAAGGAGAUUCCUCAUGGGUGACAACCACAUUCACGACCGCCAUUUUAAGUCAGCUUGGUUCAGAGUUCAGACGCAUUUUUGUGCUAAUCUUUACUGCAAGCAUGAUGGAGAAGUGGAAUGAUUCUUGCACAAGAUUUUGGCGAUGGGGCAGCAAGAAACCAAAGUGGGUGGAAAAUGAAUGAUUGAACUUGAACAGAGAUAUGGGGCUGAGUUUAAAGACAUUGAGAGGUUUCACACUGGUGGUUAGACCGUGGUAAAGUUCAGUUAAGUUAGGUUAGCUAACUCAAGUUAACCAAGAUAGGUUGCGGCAUCACUAUGCAUUACUGCAUUACUAGGCACUUAUAACACCUUGUACAUAACCCGGAUAAUGGCGGGAAGCUACCGAACUGGCGAUAAUUUUCGGCAUUAUCAAGCCUUGGGCAACUCACCGUUGAUAGCCAGGAGCCUCUACAAACUGCAGAGACCACUGAUCAUUAUCCCCUAGGCUGGAACCCGUCUGGAGCCAGUCAAGAAACCAGUCAAGAACAGGAAGCCAGCGAAGAGCAAACUGACCAUCAAAUUGAUCAACCUGUAGAAAAUUCUGGAAGACAAGGAAGAAAGAGAAAGUCUCGUCAAUUUCUUAUGAAGAAACGACGUGGCUCAUCAACCUGUGGUCACACUCGCUGAUACAGAAUCUCCUGACAAAGCCUGGUAGCAAGAGCAAAAUAUGGCAGGAAAUAUCACAUGAACUAGCCAAACAUAAGUUCAUCAGAACACCAGAGCAGUGCAAAGAAAAAAUAUAUAAUCUAAAAAAAAGAUUACAGACUGGUCAAGGAUUGAAUAAGAAGAAGUGGAGAAGGAAAUACAACAAGUGAUUUUGCGUACUAUGAUGCUAUGGACAUGGUGUUAGGUGACUGUCCAUCUGUGUCACCUACUAAUGUAUACGAGUCUCCUGAUGGUAUCUGCACAUUAUUGUCCUCUUCCUUAGUUGCCUCUCCGUACGACUCUACUCAAACAGGAGCUGAAUGUCUAUCCGGAAAUAGCAGUGGUACACCUCCAGAUUGCAGUGACCAAAGCCCAUGCUUCUCUGAAACACCUGCCAGUACUAGUAGGCACCAUAGCCCUCCUAGUGCACCUCCUAGUGCACCCAAAAAAACGAAAAAGACAAGAAAGCAGUGGCCUUGAUAGAGUUGUGAAUGAACUUACUCAAUUUGGGGAAAAGAUCGUGGAUUUGAUGUCAAGGAUGGAAGAUGCUGACAGAGAGAGAGAAGAGCGAGAGAGAAGAGAGGCUGAACGAAGAGAUGCAUUCUUGCUCAAUGCGUUACGAAUUCUUACAGGACAACAAAUGGAAGAACCUGACAAUGCAAACCAGUAGUCCAAAAUUCCCAAAAAAAUUUAAAGCACACUGUUUCAACACACUGUUCUAACAACACAAAGUUUUAGUUCUAACUAUAUUGUUAACAAACAGUUCUUAACAAUACAAUGUUCUUAUUAAUACUGUUCUAGCAAUAUUUUAACACUGGUCAACACUGUUUUAAUUAAUACUGUUCUAACAAUAUUUUUAUCACAUUGUUCUAACAACGCUAUGUUAAUUGACAGAUUGUUUUAACACAAUGUAACCAUGUUCUAAUUACAGUAGUCUCGUGUGUAGUCAUCGUUGAUUUCAUUUUGUGCCAAACAAUAGUUAUGUAAGGUACAGCAAGCAAUAACGACUACUUGAACGUUGUUGAUGUCAGUCUCUUGCUGAUUUAACAGAAUUUGCCACCUACCUUUGAGUAGCCCAAAUGCCCUUUCCACUGUGAUUCAAGCACAACUCAGUUUGUAGUUGAAACUUUUCUCAGACUCCCUCAUAUUGGAGCUCUCGGGAUAUGCUUUUAUUAGCCAACUUUUCAAAGAGUAGGCUGGAUCUCCCAGAAUUAAAACAGGUAUUCUCGCACCAUUACAGACAACAGUCUCACUUCCAGGAAACGCUGUUCCAGCACGUUCAGCAACUGGAAAGAGGCGACUGUUAGCAAGAACACGAGCAUCGUGGACUCGUCCUGGCCAGCCAAUACAGAUAUCGUUGAAGUAAAGAAAUGAAUCUACCACAGCUUGAAGUAUAAUUGAGUGAAACCCUUUACGAUUGAUAUAACAGGCUGGAUUGAGAGGUGGACUUUUAAUAGGUAUGUGUGACCCAUCUACUGCUGCACCAAUUUGAGAGAACCCAUGACCAAUAUUUCUGAACCGUUCAAUGACUUUCUUCAAGCGAUCUCCUUGUGGCAUCUGGACAUACUGACAACUCAAGUGGGAAACGAUUGCCUGACAUACUUCAUUGGAAAUAGUGCUAGCUGUUGACACACCAACGACAAACAAGUUUGAGACAGUCCUAUAAUAUUCACUGCCAGCCAACCUGUAUAAAGUCAAGGCUAGUCUCUUGUCUGGCGAUAUAGGGACUCUCAAGUGGGUGGACUUCUUUGUUAUCAGAUGUCGUAUAUCAUUGCACAGAUUACACACAAUAGAAGAAAUUAAGGUUAUCAGUUAACUAGCUAAUCUAGAACAAUAUCCAAACCUCAUGAAAGUUCCUCUUGACAUCCUAAAAUUCUCUCUCCAAUCAGUAUCUGAUGCCUCCGCAAGCAUUCUGUCCCACCACCUUGAUUCUCUUGGUUUGAUCCAUAAUGUGCGACCGGCGGGAUGCAUUCUAGCUACCACUCUUAGAACACACUGGAGUAAACAGAGUAAAACAAGAAGGACUCCUCGUUGCCGACGACGAAGGAGCCUCCUCUGAUGCCUCCUCUUCUGAGCCCUAAUGUCUAGCCGCAAAACCAUUAGCAGAAAGAAGGUAGCCGCAUUGCCACGAAACGUAGCUGGCAUUCUCAAGGCUUCUAGCUAGUACACAGUAAUAUGACCUAUUGCGCAAGCGCGAUCUCUUAACCGAGUCUAACCCAAUGCUAACCAUGGUCUGGAGGUUGGGUACUCUAACCACGAUCUAACCGAAGUUAACCAAACUUAACCAUACUUGGUUUCACACUGACCUUGGUAACCUAACUUAACCGAACUUUACCACGGUCUAGCCACCAGUGUGAAACCGCUCAUUGAUAAUUUAGGUAUAACUGAUAUAAUAGGUUUACUUGUUGGUAACACUUGUAAGUGUGUAGGUUGCAGAUGCUUUGCUGCAAUGGAGCUGAUGAUGGUGCAGCUUUCCAGCAAGAUGCAGAAAUCAGUUCGACAAGAAGUCAAAGUUGAUAUAUCUGAUUAUCGCUUUAAUUGGGAAGACCUCGGGUGAACUACAAAAGUUAGUAGACAGUCUACAUGAGUCCUGCUGUAAAUGGGGAAUGAAAAUCAGCAUCAAGAAAACAAAAGUUUUGAGCAUUGGUUACGAGCAGGCACGUAUUCUUCUUGACGGUUCUGUUCUUGAAAACGUUACAGAGUUUACUUACUUGGGGAGUAUCAUGAGCCAAGGUGGUGGAUGCAGUGCUGAAAUUGAUGCUUAUAUAAGCAAAGCAAGUAAAGUUUUUGGUUCCUGGAAGAAAAGGGUAUUUACCAACAGGCAGUUUUCAAUCUCCACAAAGAUGAAAAUUUUUCGUGCUUUGGUGAGACCUGUUUUGCUAUAUGGAUGUGAGACUUGGUCCGUUACACAACCAAACUUGCAAUGCUUAAAUACAUUCCACAUGCGGUGCAUUCGAUCGAUUCUUGGUGUCUCAAGAUGGAAUAAAAUCAAGAAUUCAGACAAUUUAGAACGAGCGUGUGAAGACCCUAUUGCUAUGACAAUACAGAAACAACGAUUGCAAUGGCUGGGCCAUCUGCAACGCAUGAGUGACAAUCGUCCCCAAAAACAACUACUUUGCAGCAGACUUAGUAAUGCAACAAGACCAACACAUGGGCCUAAACAGAGAUGGAUAGAUGUUGUCACAAGACACCUCAGAUCAUUACAUAUCAGUCUUCGUGAUGCUGAUGAUCGUGCUGCUUGGAGAAGCGCUAUUACGCUGCGUUGCCAAAACCCAUAGUGGGUAUGGUGGAAUCAAGGUUCAAGCUUGGUUGUGAACUUGGACGUAUUAUUGCCUUUGGACAUGAACAAUCGACUUUCUUGUUGACUUCCUCUGAGAAGUGGUCUGAAACAUGUACUAUAACUCAACCAAGGACAAAGAGAGUUGAAGGCAGGUGGCAAAAGAAUGAAUGACGUAGGAAGAAAAUAUGAAUAUGAUCUCUUGAAUAGGAAUGUGGAAGGAAAGUGAUGAUGCAGAGUCCACAGUAGACAAGGUUUCUCAAGUUGCUCCAUACUUGAUUGUAUGUGGCAAUCCAGCCAAACCAAGUCAUGUUAUUGGCAUCCGAGCUCAUCAUCAUGUUCGAAAUUCAGUGCAGCAACAGCAUAUGCUGUCCAGCGCUAUUGCUUGCUGUAAUUUAUGUUUUCAAUACAAAUUUCUCUCAAUCUUUAGCAACUUUUUACUGGUGCCUGGACGUCAUGUUACUGGGAUGUACUUCAGCUCCAGUGAUAUCUAGUUUUUUUGCUGGAUUGCAAUGAGGAAGUUUGUUUGAUAAAUUGUGUUUUGCUUUUGUUUAGUGCGUUGACUCACUAUUUUUGGUUUAACUGUUUAAAUACAAG